This 697-nucleotide ribosomal RNA is filed under the name Pantoea sp. enrichment culture clone V-S2_22. Its description in RNAcentral is "bacterial SSU rRNA". It matches the Rfam family "Bacterial small subunit ribosomal RNA", at positions 31 to 719 of the family's 1533-position model. Lineage: Bacteria; Pseudomonadati; Pseudomonadota; Gammaproteobacteria; Enterobacterales; Erwiniaceae. RNAcentral also lists the same sequence under 1 other name. The record is from RNAcentral.
GAACGCUGGCGGCAGGCCUAACACAUGCAAGUCGGACGGUAGCACAGAGAGCUUGCUCUUGGGUGACGAGUGGCGGACGGGUGAGUAAUGUCUGGGGAUCUGCCCGAUAGAGGGGGAUAACCACUGGAAACGGUGGCUAAUACCGCAUAACGUCGCAAGACCAAAGAGGGGGACCUUCGGGCCUCUCACUAUCGGAUGAACCCAGAUGGGAUUAGCUAGUAGGCGGGGUAAUGGCCCACCUAGGCGACGAUCCCUAGCUGGUCUGAGAGGAUGACCAGCCACACUGGAACUGAGACACGGUCCAGACUCCUACGGGAGGCAGCAGUGGGGAAUAUUGCACAAUGGGCGCAAGCCUGAUGCAGCCAUGCCGCGUGUAUGAAGAAGGCCUUCGGGUUGUAAAGUACUUUCAGCGGGGAGGAAGGCGACGGGGUUAAUAACCCUGUCGAUUGACGUUACCCGCAGAAGAAGCACCGGCUAACUCCGUGCCAGCAGCCGCGGUAAUACGGAGGGUGCAAGCGUUAAUCGGAAUUACUGGGCGUAAAGCGCACGCAGGCGGUCUGUUAAGUCAGAUGUGAAAUCCCCGGGCUUAACCUGGGAACUGCAUUUGAAACUGGCAGGCUUGAGUCUUGUAGAGGGGGGUAGAAUUCCAGGUGUAGCGGUGAAAUGCGUAGAGAUCUGGAGGAAUACCGGUGGCGAA